This 250-nucleotide ribosomal RNA is filed under the name uncultured bacterium. RNAcentral describes it as "partial 16S ribosomal RNA". It matches the Rfam family "Bacterial small subunit ribosomal RNA", at positions 57 to 305 of the family's 1533-position model. The record is from RNAcentral.
GCAAGUCGAGCGGAAACGAUCCUAGCUUGCUAGGAGGCGUCGAGCGGCGGACGGGUGAGUAACGCGUAGGAAUCUACCCAGUAGUGGGGGAUAGCCCGGGGAAACUCGGAUUAAUACCGCAUACGCCCUACGGGGGAAAGGCCGGGAUCUUCGGACCGGUCGCUAUUGGAUGAGCCUGCGUUGGAUUAGCUAGUUGGUAGGGUAAAGGCCUACCAAGGCGACGAUCCAUAGCUGGUCUGAGAGGAUGAUC